UAGAAAUCCUAAAAUCUAAGAUAAGUAGUUCGUGAAACUGAGAUUUAAUUAUAUUUUGAUCAUUCUAUCCUAUUAAAGCAAUCAACAAUCUGUUCUUACACAAUAGAAAUUAUGGAUUCGAAAAUUAAUUGGUUGUUGAGUUGUUAAAGCUUCAUGUCUCUCUGGUUUCGUUCAUCUUCCUUUAGAAGAAACAGGCCGACGAGAAACUCAUUUCUCUUCUUCUUCUUCUUCGCCGUUCUUGGUUUUUUUUCUUCUCAACUUAUUAUUUUUGUUGUUCUUCGCUUUUUAUUCUUCUCAAUAGCAUGAACUGAGAAAUCGUUCAUCUCAAUUAAGAAGAAAUCUGGAGAAUUAAAUGGAUCAGGAAGGUGUUACUAAGGUUAUGAUUUGAUUUUGGUUAGGGUUCGUAUUGAUUGAAGAACGACGAAUCAGUAAGAAAUAAAAUUAGAGUUUCUGAUGUUAGUAUUGAGUUUGUGCAAAAUCGAAUGAGGAAUUGGUGGAUUGAAUAACAGAAAGAGGAGAUGGUGGAUCUGUAUUAACUCGGGUUAUAAAGGGCUAGGGUGAAUCAGAGAGAGGAAUUUAGGGUUUGGAAAUUGAUUUAAGUUUCGAUUUAGUGAUAGAUAAGAAGAAAUCAAAGACUGGGUUUGGUGGUUUGAGAUUUGAAUCGAUGUUUUCAACUUUGAUUAGAGAGAAUUAGGUAGUUUUGUUGCAUUUGAGCUGAGAUUGAUUUCAAGGUGAAGAGAUGGCAGUUUUGCUGUUGAUCUCUCGAUGGAAAAUAUGAUGAGGACUUGGACAAUAUAGGGUUGGUGGUGAAUCUGUGUGGUCUUUUCUCAAGAUAAGAUGGUGGUUGAAUGGUGUAGUGAAAGGGUUGGUAUUGAUUUCAGUAGAAAAGGUUUGAGUAUGGAGAUGCAGUGAUGUUUGUAUGCAGAAGCUGGCUUGAGAAUGUGUGCAGAUUUCUUGCAGGGAGAAUGGUUGUUGUAGUGGUAGCUGCAAUGAAAUAGAAAAUGGAGCCAAUGAUGCUGCAAUAUGAGUCAGUGUUGGUAGUUGUUGUGCAGGCAAGAAGCUACAGAAGGAGUUGGUGGUGAUUGAAUUUGGUUGAGGCUGAUGUUGUUGGUUAGCAAGCAGCUGCUGCAGGAGAUGGAACUGGUGGGAAAGAAUGUGAAUGAUUGUUGCAGUGGAUAAUUUUCAAGUGUUUGGUGUCGUUGUUGGGAUUAGGCAAAUGGUCUUAGUGGAUGGUUAGAUGAGACUGAAAUGGUGUUGCAGCUACAGAUGGGUGCAAAUAAACUGAAGUUGGUGGUUAUUAUAAUGAAAUUUCUAUUGCAGUUGCAAGUGGUGGCUGCGUCAGGUGGUGCUGAGUAUGGUUGUGAGUUGCAAGUGUUACCCAUGGUCACAAUGGCUGUGUGAAAGCUGUUCAAACUGGUAGAGCACCACAUGCUGAUCACCGUAGGGUCAUCAGGGUUGUGUUAACAAUUUGGCAUGGUAUUCAAGCCGGUCACUCCUUGUAUCUGGAUCAGAUGAUGCGCUAGUAUAAUGCUCCUAACCUCUAUCUUCUUCAUUCACCCCUGAUGAAUGUUCUUACACUUUCCCCCUAGGUUUCAUGCUUCUGAAAUUAUGCAAGGGAUUUCACACUCCAGGAUUUUUUGUGCUUCACUUCUAUAUGGAUCCCUAAUGCUUGCACAAUUUGUUGCAGAUUAAUAUUUGGAGUUAUUCAAGCUGGAAGCUUUUGCAUAGUAUAGAGAGUGGACAUUCUGCAAAUAUAUUUUGUGCAGAAUUUGUUCCUGAGACUUGUGAUGAACUUGUGGUGUCUCGGGCAGGAGAUGCAGAGGUAAUCUUCAGAUGAGGAAUAAUUUCAAGUAUUAUGCAAAACCAAAGUGCAUUUUCAUGUACUUGGUGAGUGUGGUAGAAAACAUUUACUGAUUUCUUUUCAGGUCCGCCAAUUUAACUUAUCUCUCUUAACUACUGGAAAACCUGGAGACAACGGAAUAGAACCUUCAGCGUUGUUUCAAUGCCACUCAAGGAGAGUGAAGAAGCUAGCUAAAUACCAGUUAUUUUGCAAGUUGAAGUUGGGAACCCUAAUGUUGUAUGGAGUGCGAGUAAAGAUGGAACUUUGCGGCAGCAUGACUUCAGGGAGGGUACAUCUUGUCCUCCAAAUGGAUCAUCUUACCAAGAAUGUCGUAGUGUUCUACAUCAGUAGCAGAUUCUAAUACCACAGCAACAACAGCUCCAGUUGCAAUUACAACUUCAGCAAUUUCCACUACAGACAUGUUCAUGGAGCCAAAUCAGUUACCGCUUACAGUAUGGGUUUGGAAUUAUGAACUUAAAGCCAGGGAUUAUGGAGAACUUGAUGAAGAAUGCUUGGCAACUAGUAUUUGGGAAGUAUAUGCAUGUUUUGAGUAAGUUCCUAUGUAGUAUGUGAGUGAACUUAUAGUGAAUUA
This is a long non-coding RNA of Papaver somniferum (opium poppy), 2432 nucleotides long. RefSeq lists it as uncharacterized. NCBI's taxonomy places the organism in Eukaryota, Viridiplantae, Streptophyta, Magnoliopsida, Ranunculales, Papaveraceae. The record is from RefSeq and is a predicted model, not a curated record. The transcript is spliced from 5 exons.